RNAcentral lists this ribosomal RNA (253 nucleotides) under uncultured bacterium. RNAcentral describes it as "partial 16S ribosomal RNA". It matches the Rfam family "Bacterial small subunit ribosomal RNA", at positions 524 to 776 of the family's 1533-position model. The record is from RNAcentral.
GACGUAUGGUGCAAGCGUUAUCCGGAUUUACUGGGUGUAAAGGGAGCGUAGGCGGCGCGUUAAGUCUGAUGUGAAAACCCGAGGCUCAACCACGGGAGUGCAUUGGGAACUGGCGGGCUGGAGUGCCGGAGAGGUAAGCGGAAUUCCUAGUGUAGCGGUGAAAUGCGUAGAUAUUAGGAGGAACACCAGUGGCGAAGGCGGCUUACUGGACGGCAACUGACGCUGAGGCUCGAAAGCGUGGGGAGCAAACAGG